This is a long non-coding RNA of Canis lupus familiaris (dog), 532 nucleotides long. RefSeq lists it as uncharacterized. NCBI's taxonomy places the organism in Eukaryota, Metazoa, Chordata, Mammalia, Carnivora, Canidae. The transcript is spliced from 2 exons. The record is from RefSeq and is a predicted model, not a curated record.
GAGACUGGGACACCAUCAGUGUGGAUCUGACCACCGAGGAGGGCCCCACAGUCCCCAUAGGCCCCAGCAGCCUGCCCUGGCUCUCCAUGUCCUGGCCCAGAUUGGAAGUAGUGCCCAGACUAUGCCCAGCUGCUGUCUCUCUGCCCUCAGGCCUUAGCCACCUCCUCCAGGAAGCCCUCCUUGUUUACCUGCCCCUACAAAGCUGUGCUCAGCAUGUGUGUGUGACCUCACAGCCCAUGUGUGUCUGCCACUGAGAGGACUAUGCCUCCACUUUGCAAGGGGAAGAGGCCAGGAAGGAGGCCCGGAAGGAAGUCGUGGGAGAGGCAAGGGGAGCCCAGCACGGAUGUGUGAGGAACCGACUGAAGCCUUGGCCUCCCUGCAUCAGAGAAACAUGAAUUUUCAUCCUAAAAUCCUCUCACAAUGAACCAAGCCUGGGAAGUUCCAUUGAACAUGGUGAGAGUCAGGGAAGCCGUGUGGCCUUAUGGGCUUGGCUUCUUCUUCUUUUAAUUAAAAGCAAUUUUCAGUAAAGUAA